AUGGAAAUACUACAGUAUGGGAUUCUGCUGAUGAUUGUUUCAUAUGUUAGUGGUCAGUCAUUGACAUCUUCUGAAUCUGUGAUGAAGAAACCUGGAGAAUCAGUCACUCUGUCCUGUACUGUGUCUGGAUUCUCUUUGACUAGCUGGUGGACGCACUGGAUCCGUCAGAAACCACAGAGAGGACUGGAAUGGAUUGGACGAAUUGAUAGUGGCACUGGCACUGUUUUUGCUCAGUCUCUUCAGGGUCAAUUCUCCAUUACUAAAGACACCAGCAAAAACACACUGUACCUGCAGAUAAAAAGCCUAAAGGCUGAGGACACAGCUGUGUAUUAUUGUGCAAGAGACUCACAGUAA
Molecule: non-coding RNA, 354 nt
Organism: Paramisgurnus dabryanus
Lineage: Eukaryota; Metazoa; Chordata; Actinopteri; Cypriniformes; Cobitidae
Source: the annotation of a RefSeq genome assembly